UUAGUUCUGUCCUGGGGGCUACUUCCACUGGAGAGGGACCUGGGGAGGUGACCAUACGGCCACUCCGUCCCCCUCAGAGGGCCCGGCUCCUGGAGAAGUGGAUCCGCGUGGCAGAGGAGUGCCGGCUGCUCCGAAACUUCUCUUCAGUUUAUGCCGUGGUGUCAGCCCUGCAGUCCAGCCCCAUCCACAGGCUUCGGGCAGCCUGGGGGGAAGCAACCAGGGACAGCCUCAGAGUCUUUUCCAGUCUCUGCCAGAUUUUCUCCGAGGAGGAUAAUUAUUCCCAGAGUCGGGAGCUGCUCGUGCAGGUAAGAGCCUGGUUUGUGGCAUUCCCACCUCUCCCUGCUCCCUACUGCUCCCCCAUGUCUCUAUUUUGUCACCACCAGGAGGUGAAGCUGCAGUCUCCUCUGGAGCCACACUCCAAGAAGGCCCCGAGGUCUGGCUCCCGGGGUGGGGGUGUGGUCCCAUACCUUGGCACCUUCCUGAAGGACCUUGUGAUGCUGGAUGCAGCCUCCAAGGAUGAGUUGGAGAAUGGAUACAUCAAUUUUGACAAGCGGAGGAAGGUGAGCGGAGUGCCUGGGCUGGAUGCUGGACUUCCCUAUCCAUGUUCCAGGAAGGGGAGGGGGGAAAGUCAGGGGUCCCUGAGUUUUGGCUCCUGCAGUUUGAGGGCUCCUUCCCAGGAGUUUGCAGUCCUUUCUGAGUUGCGACGGCUCCAGAAUGAAUGUCGUGGCUAUAACCUCCAACCUGACCAUGAUAUCCAGAGGUGGCUACAGGGGCUCCGGCCACUGACAGAGGCUCAGAGCCAUCGUGUAUCCUGUGAGGUGGAGCCACCUGGUUCCAGUGACCCUCCUGCCCCACGGGUGCUUCGGCCAACACUGGUCAUCUCGCAGUGGACAGAGUGAGAGAUUCACUGGCUGGGGGGUGGUUUCUUGGGACUUCCACUUUUCUUCUGAUCCUCCCAACCUCCUGCCACUGCAGGGUUCUGGGCUCUGUUGGGGUCCCUACCCCACUUGUGUCCUGUGACCGGCCCAGUAUCGGGGGAGAUGAGGCGCCUACAACUCCUGCUCCUCUGCUGACUCGGCUGGCCCAGCACAUGAAGUGGCCAUCUGUCUCGUCACUAGACUCUGCCCUGGAAAGCAGUCCAUCCCUGCACAGUCCAGCUGACCCCAGCCACCUCUCCCCACCAGCCUCCUCCCCUAGGCCUUCUCGAGGUCACCGCCGCUCAGCCUCCUGUGGCUCCCCGCUGAGUGGGGGUGCAGAAGAGGCCUCCGGGGGGACUGGAUAUGGGGGAGGGGGAUCUGG
RNAcentral lists this small RNA (1299 nucleotides) under Pongo abelii (Sumatran orangutan). RNAcentral's name for it is "retained intron". The record is from RNAcentral. Lineage: Eukaryota; Metazoa; Chordata; Mammalia; Primates; Hominidae.